RNAcentral lists this ribosomal RNA (117 nucleotides) under Danio rerio (zebrafish). Lineage: Eukaryota; Metazoa; Chordata; Actinopteri; Cypriniformes; Danionidae. The record is from RNAcentral.
ACCCACAGCCAUGUCACCCUGCAGCCCAAGACCGGUUACUCACUGAAGCUAAGCAGGGCUGAGCCUGGUUAGUACCUGGAUGGGAGACCACUAGGGAACACUAGGUUGCUGUUGGAA